AGGUUUUGCCCAAGGCGGGCGUUUCCUCCCUUCGACUUCGGCCCCGCUCACCCCAGAGCGGGGCCUCUUCGUAUCUGCG
RNAcentral lists this small RNA (79 nucleotides) under Methylobacterium brachythecii. RNAcentral describes it as "suhB". It matches the Rfam family "Makes More Granules Regulator RNA (mmgR)". Rfam says of the family: SuhB later renamed mmgR (makes more granules regulator) was a putative non-coding RNA found multiple times in the Agrobacterium tumefaciens genome and related alpha-proteobacteria. Other non-coding RNAs uncovered in the same analysis include: speF, ybhL, metA, and serC. Several studies inSinorhizobium meliloti showed that suhB element is indeed a non-coding RNA:firstly it was detected on Northern blot and called Sm8RNA, secondly in an RNAseq study referred to as SmelC689. The record is from RNAcentral. Lineage: Bacteria; Pseudomonadati; Pseudomonadota; Alphaproteobacteria; Hyphomicrobiales; Methylobacteriaceae.